Molecule: ribosomal RNA, 303 nt
Filed under: uncultured bacterium
Lineage: Bacteria
Description: partial 16S ribosomal RNA
Rfam family: Bacterial small subunit ribosomal RNA
Source: RNAcentral
AGCAGUCGCCACGGUAAUACGUAGGCCCCGAGCGUUGUCCGGAUUUAUUGGGCGUAAAGCGAGCGCAGGCGGUUAGAUAAGUCUGAAGUUAAAGGCUGAGGCUUAACCAUAGUACGCUUUGGAAACUGUUUAACUUGAGUGCAAGAGGGGAGAGUGGAAUUCCAUGUGUAGCGGUGAAAUGCGUAGAUAUAUGGAGGAACACCGGUGGCGAAAGCGGCUCUCUGGCUUGUAACUGACGCUGAGGCUCGAAAGCGUGGGGAGCAAACAGGAUUAGAUACCCCUGUAGUCCCUGUCUCUUAUACA